Molecule: ribosomal RNA, 446 nt
Filed under: uncultured Bradyrhizobiaceae bacterium
Lineage: Bacteria; Pseudomonadati; Pseudomonadota; Alphaproteobacteria; Hyphomicrobiales; Nitrobacteraceae
Description: bacterial SSU rRNA
Rfam family: Bacterial small subunit ribosomal RNA
Source: RNAcentral
UUGCCUACGGGGGGCUGCAGUGGGGAAUUUUGGACAAUGGGCGAAAGCCUGAUCCAGCCAUGCCGCGUGAGUGAAGAAGGCCUUCGGGUUGUAAAGCUCUUUUGUGCGGGAAGAUAAUGACGGUACCGCAAGAAUAAGCCCCGGCUAACUUCGUGCCAGCAGCCGCGGUAAUACGAAGGGGGCUAGCGUUGCUCGGAAUCACUGGGCGUAAAGGGUGCGUAGGCGGGUCUUUAAGUCAGGGGUGAAAUCCUGGAGCUCAACUCCAGAACUGCCUUUGAUACUGAAGAUCUUGAGUUCGGGAGAGGUGAGUGGAACUGCGAGUGUAGAGGUGAAAUUCGUAGAUAUUCGCAAGAACACCAGUGGCGAAGGCGGCUCACUGGCCCGAUACUGACGCUGAGGCACGAAAGCGUGGGGAGCAAACAGGAUUAGAUACCCCUGUAGUCUAC